RNAcentral lists this transfer RNA (73 nucleotides) under Danio rerio (zebrafish). It matches the Rfam family "tRNA". Rfam says of the family: Transfer RNA (tRNA) molecules are approximately 80 nucleotides in length. Their secondary structure includes four short double-helical elements and three loops (D, anti-codon, and T loops). Lineage: Eukaryota; Metazoa; Chordata; Actinopteri; Cypriniformes; Danionidae. The record is from Rfam by way of RNAcentral.
GCUCGUCUAGUUCAGUCGGUAGAGCACGAGACCCUUAAUCACAGGGUUGUGGGUUUGAGCCCCACGUUGCGUG